UUAAGUCCCGCAACGAGCGCAACCCCUCGCUGCCUGUUGCCACCACGAGAGGUGGGGACUCAGGCGGGACCGCCGGUGACAAACCGGAGGAAGGUGGGGACGACGUCAAGUCAUCAUGGCCCUUAUGUCCUGGGCUACACACGUGCUACAAUGGCCGGUACAGAGCGCAGCGAGGCCGCGAGGCGGAGCGAAUCGCUUAAAGCCGGUCCCAGUACGGAUUGGAGUCUGCAACCCGACUCCAUGAAGUUGGAAUCGCUAGUAAUCGCGCAUCAGCAUGGCGCGGUGAAUACGUUCCCGGGCCUU
This 303-nucleotide ribosomal RNA is filed under the name uncultured Spirochaeta sp. Its description in RNAcentral is "bacterial SSU rRNA". It matches the Rfam family "Bacterial small subunit ribosomal RNA", at positions 1080 to 1382 of the family's 1533-position model. The record is from RNAcentral. Lineage: Bacteria; Pseudomonadati; Spirochaetota; Spirochaetia; Spirochaetales; Spirochaetaceae.